This 253-nucleotide ribosomal RNA is filed under the name uncultured bacterium. RNAcentral describes it as "partial 16S ribosomal RNA". It matches the Rfam family "Bacterial small subunit ribosomal RNA", at positions 524 to 776 of the family's 1533-position model. The record is from RNAcentral.
UACGUAGGGGGCAAGCGUUGUCCGGAUUUAUUGGGCGUAAAGAGCGUGUAGGCGGCCAGGUAGGUCCGUUGUGAAAACUCGAGGCUCAACCUCGAGAUGUCGAUGGAAACCAUCUGGCUAGAGUCCGGAAGAGGAGAGUGGAAUUCCUGGUGUAGCGGUGAAAUGCGCAGAUAUCAGGAAGAACACCCGUGGCGAAGGCGGCUCUCUGGGACGGUACUGACGCUGAGAAGCGAAAGCGUGGGGAGCGAACAGG